Molecule: ribosomal RNA, 741 nt
Filed under: uncultured bacterium
Lineage: Bacteria
Description: bacterial SSU rRNA
Rfam family: Bacterial small subunit ribosomal RNA
Source: RNAcentral
AGAGUUUGAUCAUGGCUCAGAAUGAACGUUAGCGGUGUGCUUAACACAUGCAAGUCGUACGAGAACUCUUUAGCUUGCUAAAGAUAGUAAAGUGGCGUACGGGUGAGUAACGCGUGGGUAAUCUACCUCUGAAUCUGGGAUAACUCCGCGAAAGCGGGGCUAAUACCGGAUAAUAUCUCAAAAACCCUGGUUUUUGAGAUCAAAGAUGGCCUCUACAUGUAAGCUAUUAUUUGGAGAUGAGCCCGCGUACCAUUAGCUUGUUGGUUGGGUAAUGGCCUACCAAGGCUACGAUGGUUAGCUGGUCUGAGAGGAUGAUCAGCCACACUGGAACUGACACACGGUCCAGACUCCUACGGGAGGCAGCAGUGAGGAAUUUUGCGCAAUGGGGGAAACCCUGACGCAGCAACACCGCGUGAGUGAUGAAGGCUUUCGGGUCGUAAAGCUCUGUCAAGUGGGAAGAACGUAAUAAAUGCCAAUAACAUUUUUUAUUGACGGUACCACUGAAGGAAGCACCGGCUAACUCCGUGCCAGCAGCCGCGGUAAUACGGGGGGUGCAAGCGUUAUUCGGAAUUAUUGGGUGUAAAGGGCGCGUAGGCGGUCUUUUAAGUCAGAUGUGAAAGCCCGAGGCUUAACCUCGGAAGUGCAUUUGAAACUGGAGGACUUGAGUAUGGGAGAGGGAAGUGGAAUUCCUGGUGUAGAGGUGAAAUUCGUAGAUAUCAGGAGGAACAUCGGUGGCGAAGG